This 433-nucleotide ribosomal RNA is filed under the name uncultured bacterium. RNAcentral describes it as "partial 16S ribosomal RNA". It matches the Rfam family "Bacterial small subunit ribosomal RNA", at positions 29 to 507 of the family's 1533-position model. The record is from RNAcentral.
AACGAACGCUGGCGGCAUGCCUAACACAUGCAAGUCGAACGAGACCUUCGGGUCUAGUGGCGCACGGGUGCGUAACGCGUGGGAACCUGCCCUUAGGUUCGGAAUAACUCCCCGAAGGGGGUCCUAAUACCGGUUAAGGUCUUCGCACCAAAGAUUUAUCGCUUUUGGAUGGGCCCGCGUUGGUUUAGCUGGUUGGUAGGGUAAAAGCAUACCAAGGCGGCGAUCCAUAGCUGGUCUGAGAGGAUGAUCAGCCACACUGGGACUGAGACACGGCCCAGACUGCUACGGGAGGCAGCAGUGGGGAAUAUUGGACAAUGGGCGAAAGCCUGAUCCAGCAAUGCCGCGUGAGUGAUGAAGGCCUUAGGGUUGUAAAGCUCUUUUACCCGGGAUGAUAAUGACAGUACCGGGAGAAUAAGCUCCGGCUAACUCCGUG